Molecule: long non-coding RNA, 913 nt
Organism: Hemicordylus capensis (graceful crag lizard)
Lineage: Eukaryota; Metazoa; Chordata; Lepidosauria; Squamata; Cordylidae
Exons: 3
Source: RefSeq, a predicted model, not a curated record
AAUGGAGACAGCUGCAAACUGGCGCCCGGGCAACAAACCUCACUCCAAACCGAGGGUUCAAACUGGAGUUUAAGAAUCCAAAAUGAAUUCUCACAGAGUUCCAGUAUCAGGGAACCGUGGCAUACACACACAGCCCUGCCUUGAGUCUCACCCGGUCCAUCUACCAAGAUCCUUUAUCCAGAAAUAGUGGAAACUGAAACUGGGUCUUUCUGCAGUUGAAAAGAUGCAGCCUCCUACUCAGAUGUGGUUCCUCUUAAAACGUACAGGAAAUCCUCAGUAUUUGCGGAAUCCCUCAACAUUGCCGCAGAUAAGGAAACCGCAAAUACUGGAUCAUUGAACUCAAUGCAAUUGUGGGAGUUAGAUUCCUGGAGGUUGGGAAACCAAGGUCAGGUGUCAAUUACCCAACCACGGAUACUUGAAACCACAGAUGCCAAAUCCGCGAGUAAUGAGGCCGUCCUUUAUACAGACAGGUUUGGGCCCUCCACUCUGCUCCUACAGGAUCACUCACCACCUCCUUCCGAUCCAAGACCUCCAGAAUAUUGUUAAGGAGCUGCGAACAGGCUUCAUGAUCCGGUUUGGUGGAAUUAUCAUCCAGCUGCCCACUUAACUGGUCGACCAGCAGAGGCAGGAGAACAUCUCGGCACUCUGAGGAACAUCAUGAAGAAAGAUGACACAGGUUCAGCAUCCCAAGCUGGGAAUGUGUGUAUUAACCUACCCACUCACCUGCUUCAUGGUCCAGGUCAGCGGCAGCUGCAGGAGUAGUCUGGCUUCUAUUUCUUCCAGUUAAAUGGGCACGGAGGCCUCUUUCAAGUGGCGGCUCUCUUAUGUUUAUCAAGGGGAGAGCAACUGGCCCUAUUCAGCCCAGAAUAGCAUCUCUCCAGCAGCUGUUGCUUCAAUGCCCUCUUGGGGUGGG